Molecule: long non-coding RNA, 1122 nt
Filed under: Homo sapiens (human)
Lineage: Eukaryota; Metazoa; Chordata; Mammalia; Primates; Hominidae
Description: non-protein coding lnc-FGFR1OP-17:1
Source: RNAcentral
UUUUGCCGAACUUCAUUUUCCAUCUUUAAAAUGGAAGCAUGGAAACAAUAGCCGUGUCUCCCUCUUAGUGUUGCCGUGAGGAUGACCAAGAUUAUGUGUAUGGAAAUGCCUCCAGUGGUCCCUGGCGUGCAGCAGGCACUCAGCAGGAAAAGAAAAAAAAAAAAAGGUGUGGUUCUGUCAGUCAGAAUAGACCUAACAAAAGCAACUGAUCAAGAGUGUUACCUCCCUAAAAACAGGAUAGUAACAAGUUUUCAGCUUCCUCAUGUCUUCCGUAGCCUUCAAUUCAGGCCAUUACAGGAUUUCUCCUCUCUCCCGCCCCAGGAAUAAGUCUCUUAUGUGAAAAUGAAGUCAAUGGAAAAUUACAUUUAUUUUAUAGCCACAUUUCUCUAACACAUUUCCCCCGGAAGUAAACAAUUUUCUAUAUAGAGACAUAAGACUUAUUUUCCCUAAGACAAACAAUAUGCAUAAUAUUAACAGUGAGUAAAUUAGAGACCAACUUCCAGCAUGGCAGUGUAAGGAGCUCCUUGAAGUUGCUCCCCAGUGAGCCUGGUGAAAACUACCAAAAAAAAAAAAAAGAAAGAAAAGCAAAAACCAAAAACAAAAAAACAUAUAGCCUCUGGAAAUGGUAGAAGGAGCAAACAGCAAAUGACAAAAUCUCUUUUCAAGACAAUCUAUCAAAAUCUGGUAGGAAUGGUGAGAGUCUGUGCUAUUUGAGCUAAGAAUGCACCUCUGUUCCCUUCUCCCAGCUCAGGGAGGUGGGGAGUCCAUGCCAAAGACUGCAGCCAAGAACACAGGGCCCUCCCCAGCACCCAGCUGGAGGACUUUCCUCCUUGGGAGGGGCAGGACUUCAGGGCUUCUCAUCUUGUCCCCUAACCCCUCAUGCCCUGCCGCCUGUUGCUGAGGCUAAGUACCAGAUGAGUGUGGUGAAAAAGUUGGGAGUGGGGGAGAGGUGCAGGCUGUAAAACAGAUAGCUCCUGUAUCUUCGCAGAGGAACUGACUUGAUGUGCAACACAGUCUGGAGGAGGUUAAACCUGAGGGCACUCUCAAGAACAGUGGAGUUGUGGUGAAAGGCAACUGGGCAGAGAUUUGUGCAUCUACUGUAAAGACAGCCUAGAUGGUAGG